UGCUCUUCUGAUCUGAGUGAACAGUCAGGCUUCUGGGCCCCACCCAGGCUGGGGGAGUGGCUGCCCUUGGGAAAGAGAAGGAGCAUGCUGGCCAAUCAGCUGGCUUAUCAGCAGGUGGCUGCCAGAAGCUGCCUGGAGGAGAAGCAGGUGCCGAGGGCAGGACUGUGCCAGCCGUUGGAAGCAGUGUUUGAAAACUGGCCUGGAUUCCCCAUUCCCGCCGUCCCAGGUCAUUCUGAUAGGCAGGGAAGAGAGGAAAGGACAGUUUCUAUGGGAGGGCCCAGGACUUGAAUCUCAUUCUUCAGAGAGAUGGAUCCUCAGGGAUUCCUUCCUUGCUUCCAACCCUUCAGUGGCCCCCAGAGUCUUCUUGAGGACCUAACCUCCCCUGCUCAGCCUUUAAGACACUUUGUGAUGGAGCCCUUGACUUCCUCUCCUCUGCCUUCUACACUCUGUUCCCUGUCCUUCCCCAAGUGCACUCAGCUUGUUCUCUCCUCCAGGCCCUUGUCUGUGCUGUUCCCUCAGCCUGAAACACAGUUCCCCAUCCUUUUUCACCCCCCGGAGCGGCCCCUCUGAGAAGCUUGGCUCCAGCCCGCGGUGCUGAAUCCCUCAGGACAUCAUGGUGUCUGUGUCCAUCCCCCCGCUGGUCUCAGCUCUGCGUGAGCUGUCAGUGCGUGUGCGUGUGCGCCUGCAGCCCUGGCCUGGAGCAGAUGCUUUGUGAAUGUCAGAUGCAGGAGGAAGUGAUGUCCUCGAGAAAGAAUGAGGGUGCAUCCCCCCACCCUCCCCCACAGCAGGGGGCCCUGACCCUGAGAGCCGGUGCUUCUGAAGUUGGAGUUUCCUGGGCCCCUUUAUCAAGACGAGACCUCAACCGAGGGGUCCAGAAGAGGGUCAGAGCCAGCUUGGGAAUCCCGACUCUGCUGAACAGACUUGGGGCGGGGGAUGACCUCACCCCCUGGGAACUCAGUGCAUCGGAGCCCACUUGAGCCAAGAGGGCUGCCGCUUAGACCUGGAAGGAGCGGCCUUUUCUCCCAACGAGCCGUGUCGCGUGACCUCCAGCCCCCCUCCCGGGCCUCCCCGCAGCUGUUGACAGGAGUGUCAGGCCGCGGCGCUGCACUGACCGGGUUCUGUUUGCAAAGAACAGGAGCGGGGAGGAGCUGCGUGGUGGUUCCCAGUGUGGGCUGGCCCCUUUCCACCCUGAGUGCUGGCCGACCAGGCCUCUGACACAGAACAAAGUCCCAUCAGGCUGGCGUCUGUCUCCUGGGUGCAUGUCACUGCUCUUUUUGGCAGAGGUGAGGGAGGCGUGGUUGUUUUCUUUCUAAUCCACUUUCAAACCCACCAAUAGAAAAGGUACUCUGUUGCCGGAGGAGACCGACAUCCCUGCCCUGCUUUGGGUGACGGAAAGCCUGCCAAUACCAGCCUUGCCUUUGCCUCGUUAGCGUGUGUGCACGCGUGUGUGCACGCGCACACACAGACACACACGUGCACCAUGCUGCUUCCUCCCACUGUCACUUGAAUCAGAGACUUCUUACGGAAGGGCCACCGUCUGAGGGCAGAUGUGUGUGGGUUCGGGAAGCCCCAGACACUGUCCAUCAAACUGUGUGUGUGGAGUGUGGGUGUGUUCCCGGGAAGAGAGGCUGGUACCGCGUUCAUCACCCUUAGCAAGGCCUGGCCACCUUGGUGGGGCAGGGUGGAGGAAGGGUCCCCCGCCCCUGCCCGGUUCUGCUGCCCGGGUUUCCUCACCGGCAAAGUGAAGGCAGAACAGUCCCCCUGAAGGGUUGUGAGGCUGCCAGCUCUGCACAAAAAGGGCCGUGCGGGCGUGUGCCCAGGGCUCGGUAAAAGGCUAGUUAGAGCCUCUGUGAGAGGGAGGGGGCAGCAUAGUUCUCAGGGUUGGCAAUCUCCUUUCCCGGUGGAGUGGAAGCUGCUGAAAAUCUCAGCCAGAAUGCCAUCUGCUGAAUGCCAGCACGCUGGGGGCCUUCAGCUCGGCGUCCAGAGAAGCCAGAGCUGUGCUUCCUGCCAUCCUCCUGGCGGUAAAUGCCAUCUCCUUGGACUCUUUUUAGAUCAAAGGAAAGGCUGGGUUGGGCGAUGAGCGGCAUCGUUCAGAGGGUGGCACAGUGCGCAUUUGGGAUGCUGCUGGGGUGGCUUAAAAAUAGGCCUCUGUCCUUGGACACAGGGAAAGUGACCCUGGGGUUUUCAAGAGGCCUUUCCUCGCCAAGGUUACCAGCCCGCCAUGAGAGCAACGUUGCAGGAUGUAUUCUCCAGAUACACAGACAGCCAUCUCCCACCCAGGAGUAAACCUUUUCUCAAUAAAGGAGCAAGAAAAGGUAGUAAAGGGAGGGAGCCAGUGUUAACUGAACACCUACUAUGUGCCACACGCCGUGUCUGACUAGCUGGCCUCAUUUGUCCUCACAGCAAUCAUGCAGGGUGGAGGUGACUCUUAACCGGUUUUCUAGGUCUGGUCGGGGGGCCCAGAGAAGUUAAGCAUGUACCUCAAGAUCACACAACUGCAAAAUGACAAAAAUCAGAAUUUGAACCCUUGUCUGUCUGACUCUAAGCCUGUGCUCUUUUUAACCGCCUCUCAAAUUGAGAUUUAGGAGAUAAACGUGUGGGAGAGAUGGUGUGAGGGGCUUACCUAAGGGUCGGACCCCGAUGUUCCCCAUGAGGGAGGGAAUGAGUGUGCUGGGACUCCCGCUGGGGGCUUCCCUGCUUUCACCACCCCUCCCUGCAGCCUGGGGGGUCUGUGUUCACGCACCAUCAACAGGUGGUGACUUGCCCAAAGGCCCCUCAGGCUAGCAAGCAGCAAAGCAGGGGCUCACACCCAGAGCCCAUGAAGGCUAUUCUAGCACAUGCGAGUAAACCGCAGAGCCAGCCCUGAAGGACCGGCCCAAGGAACAGCUCUGCUGUCCCCCUGCCUCCCGGAACAGCUAGCCCAAGGCUGGUAGUGCCAACACUUGUUUUUCCCAAACAGAGCCCCUUUCUCCCUAACUGCCCACAGCCGCUCAUCUCCACCCCCCACAUCUCUGCUCAUACACUUUUGGGUUUUUUUAUUGGCCAUACCCCAUGGCGUGCAGAACUUCCCCCAACCGGGCAUCGAAGCUGCGAGCCCCACUGUGAAGUGCAGCGUCUCAACCACUAGACCGCCAGGGGAGACCUCUGCUCACACAUUUCUGAGCUGGGGCUUUGCUUCCGUGACUAGAUGCUGGAAAGCCCCGCCCUCUGUUCUUGGCAGGCUGGAGCCGCCUUUGGUUAAUUCUGAGUGGUGGGCCAGGACGGUCCCCUCCCUCCUACACACAGGAAGGGACUGAGUGCAGAGAUCUCCCCUUGGUUCCCACCACAGAGAAGUCUCCUCCCCCUGUCUUGUUCUUGGAGUCCCAGGACCCAGUUCUUGGCCAGAGAGCAAGGGGGCUCACCGGCCAGAGGCAGCACCCCCAUGAGGCCAGCUGGGACUUGGCCUUGGUUGGGGGUAAAGGUCUGGUCCCUGGUGUGGGCUGGGGCCCCUUCCUAGCAGAAGGUUUUCUCACCAGUGAGAAGGGGGUCCGUCUGAAUCUGGUCCUGGUGCCAGCAGCCGGGAAACUCUGCUCACAGACUCAACCAUUUGGGGGAACAGCUGAAGUGACCCCAGGAGGGGAACAGUGGGGGACCUUUUGGCUCUCGGUGGAAUAUUCUGCAGCCGUGAAACAGCACGGUGAAUGCUUGGGAGCCAUGUGGGGAAAUGCUUUUUAUGUAGUGUUGAGUUAGAAAAGGCAGGAAGCAGAAUUAAAUGUGUUCUCUGAUUGCAAGGAAAUUAGAAAGGGUACUCAGUACUACUUCAUGCUUAGUACUUCCACACUACACAUGGAAGAAAGUCAGGCAAGAGGAAAGAGCACUGGUUUGGGGUCAGACUGAGCUGGGUUCACAUCUCAAUGCUGCUCCUUGGAUCUGUAGGAAGUGUUUUUCUCCUGGAAAAUGCAGAUGAGAAUCCUGUAGGUGAAGAUUUGUUUUGAGAAUUAACUACAACCAUGUUAUCAAAAGGCUUCCCUUGUAGCUCAGUUGGUAAAGAAUUUUCCUGCAAUGCAGGAGACCCAGAUUCCAUCCCUGG
Molecule: long non-coding RNA, 4069 nt
Organism: Cervus elaphus (red deer)
Lineage: Eukaryota; Metazoa; Chordata; Mammalia; Artiodactyla; Cervidae
Exons: 3
Source: RefSeq, a predicted model, not a curated record